Papaver somniferum (opium poppy) is the source of this 3440-nucleotide long non-coding RNA. RefSeq lists it as uncharacterized. Lineage: Eukaryota; Viridiplantae; Streptophyta; Magnoliopsida; Ranunculales; Papaveraceae. The record is from RefSeq and is a predicted model, not a curated record. The transcript has 3 exons.
AUGAAUACGUAGUGGGUCUGUUUUGUUAGCGGGUCUCCAGAGUAGUCUGGAUUCUCGACUCCUCCUCUCCUCUCCUCACAUUUUGUUGAAAACCCCAACAGAAGUAGCGAAGUAGGUGAAAGAAAUUUCCCAAACACCAUCGGUCCAUCUCCCAUCUGUUCUCCAUUUCCAUAAUUUUUUAUCUUUGUAUCAGCAGAUUUUAUCUCUCGCUUCUCAUGGGUUUUCUCUCUUAGCAAAUCAUCUUUUUACUUCAAUCUAGGGUUUCACCUCUUUGGUUCAAUCGUUAUCUAAGAUCUCUCGCUUUCUAUCUCGGUUGCUCUAGGAAGUUUCCAUUUUGUUCUUGCGUAUAGAAAUAUAUCUCCAUAAGAAAACCAUAAGAAAACUACACUAAUCUCUCAAUUUCUUCUCUUUGGAAACAUUAUGGUCGCGAAGAUUCUUAAAUAUGUGAUUCGGUACAAGUUCUAAAUUUUCGGUGUUUCUGGUGAAAUCCCUAGAACAUGAUUUGGGAUUUCACCAGCCGUGGAUCUUUCUAUUUGACGCCUCAACGUAGUUCGUAAGUUUUUCUUUGCAGAUUCAGUUUUUAGAGCGUUGGUGUGAUGUAGUUAGGGCUUAGUGAGAUUGGAACUAGAGAUUGUUCUAUUCAAGGAGCUUGAUGAAGAAGAAGAGAUCAGUCAUAGGUCAGCAUAACCACGGAAGAGGAACAGACUUUGGUUUGAUUUCCAUGUCAUUCUCUUUUGGCAAGUGGUUUCCUCUCUAUCAAUUGUUUUCUUUUCUUUUUAUUCUGAUUCCCCUAAUUGUUAAUUUCUUGUUCAUAGUUGUAAUAUUUAUUUUGAUUCUUCAUACAGGUUAUUUAUGCCGAAAAGAUCUGUAGUUCUCUCAGUUUUGUGAACCUAUGAUAGUCUUUGCAUAUUACAAUGAGUUUGGUUCUUUAUGAUAAAUUUCAGGUAUAAAUCUCGGAAACUAUUCAGCUUAAAAUUAUCAACCAAGUAUCACGAAGACUUUGUCAUCGACUUGUUUAUUUUUAUACAUAUAGAUUACUUAGAAAAGUGUGGCUGAGCUUUGCUUCCUGCCAUAGGGAUGAGAAAUAACAUUUUAUUACAUUAUGUGGAAGUCUUUAGCAGAUUCAUUUCCUUUAUUCAGUACUAAAACCUUUCUAUUCUUGUUAAAAAAUCAGUGUAGUAACUGUGGGUACGCGAAGUAUGACUGGUAGCGCAAAGGUUUUAGAUACAGUUUUUCUGUAAAAGCCUCGAUGACACACCACCACAUGUCAUAUAAAUUGGAUGUAUCCAAAUAGCAGAACUGAACUUUCAAUAAAUAGGACAAUGACUUUAAUUGCCGGUACAUUAUCAUUGUCUUCGUGGUUUCUUGAUCAAGUCUAGGUAAGUAAGAGAUACCCGUGUUAGUAUUAUUGUGCUACUAUUAUGUACUCUUGGGUGCCAUCGAUUAAUUCUACUAAGCUUAAUGACAGAUCAUCUAGAUUUUUCUUCAUAGGUUCUCUAAGAAAAUUUUAAAUCUUAAUGGUCUUAUUCUAUAUAAAUAUAUGCAUACUUCAUUUUUAAUGUAAGCUAAUCUUUUUUUCGGUUGAAUCAUAUGUGUUAUGUAUAUAGCAUGUCUAAAACGCUCCAUUUGGUGGGCGAGCUGUAGACUCAGGCUUGAGAUUUAUGGAUUAUUCAAUUUGUGUAAAGAAAAGAGGUCAUGUUUUUAAUGCAUCAUCAAUCUUCUUACACAAAUAAUCGUAGUCAUAAUUUGCACGAACAACUUUAUUUUGAAAGAUUACAAACCUGUAAUUCUUUUACAAUUAGCAUGGGUUAUGAUACAGAAUGUCAAUUGUUACAAAAAUGUAACAUCCUCCUUUUACAACUGAUCUUCCCUUGUUGACUUGGACAUUUUUUAUUUGAUUUUUAAAUUUACAGGUGUUUGAGUUCCUUGAGAACAUCUCAUCAGCUAAGCCACUUACAUACUUAGAGAUUGCUUUUUCUAGUUGGGCCCUUUCUUAUCAUGUUAAUUUAAAGUUCAAUUAUAUGAUCCUCCCUUGCAAAUUAAAUUUUUUGUCUUUCAUUUAUAACAAACAUAUAUUUUGUCAAUUUCUAGGCCUAAAAUUUUAGAGGAUGGGAGAUAUUGAGAUUCUGCAUAAUUAUGUUCAGUUGUAAGUUGCGUUAGACUUGAGUGUUGUUGAGAUCCAAUGUAAUCUUUUACCUUAAACUGAUCACUUGAGUUUCCAGUUCAUUUGCUCAUUUUUUAGUUGGGAAAACGAUAAAUUGGUCUGUUGUUAAUAGUACCUAGGGAAUGAAAAUAUAGUUGAAUCCAGGGAUGCUUUAUUUAUUAUCUAAUGUUCUUCCUUCAAUUCUAAGAAAGCAGAAAAUUACCUGGUACUGUAUGCAGGAUGCUUGUCUUUUUUUUCCUUGUUUAUCCAUUGUGUCAUCUUCAUGUAUGCUGCAGUUAAAGGUUUUCACCAUAUCUUAUUAUAUGGUGCUUCGCUUCAGGAGUUUGCUCUCACGGAUGCAACUACAUAUAGUUCUUCGAAGAGGCCUUGUUCACCCCUUGCUUUCAUUAUCUGGUUUCAAGUAAGUCUUGGUUCCUUUUUGAUACUGUAAGACAAUGCAGUUACUAAACAAAUACAUAUAUAUGUCGUCAUAGUCCUCACUGUCUUUUAUAUUGUUUGAAGUCUUGUACCUUGUUUAAGUAGUUAUUUAAGCAUAUAUAGCAACUGUAAGUAAUUUUUGAGGUAGGCACUUUUCCGCUUCUAUUUGUGAAGAUAUCCUGCAUUGGUCUUAUGUAUGUGGCAUAAACUUCAUUAUUUAAUUGCUGGCGCAAACAUUCCGUUGAGAUUUGAAAGAUUGAGUUUUCCAUUUAAAGGCUACCGAAUUGAUAAUCCUUUAAUUCCAGUAUACAAAAAUUUAUUUCAACUUGGAUUGGUUGUUGAAAGCAUCAAAAGCUAAUUUGUGCGUGAAGAGAAGGGGGCCUGUGAACAACAAGCUUAUUGUGCUCAGGUGUGUAUCUUAGUAUCUGCAAGGAUUGACAACUAUUAAUUUAAAUAUUUUUUGUAAGUGGUAAUUGCCGCUGCUUCGAUCAUGUAAUAACUGAAAAUGCCUUAUUUCUUGCCAUUAUGAUCUAUAUUAACUUGGGAUCUUUGUAGAAAGAUUAAGCAGUUAGAUAAUUCAAGUAAAUAAGGUCAAUACCGAUAUUUAGAAGUGAUAUAUUGAAAUAUAUGUUCAAAUAUUCUCAACACUCUGCUUUGUCAUGUGUGUUGAUUACUAUGUAGUCUUCUUCUUGUGUGCUGACCCGGCUUACUCCCGCCUGUCUGCAAGUUCAUGGUUGCUGUUUUGUUCAAGAAAUGUUGCUAUGGGAUCGACUUUUCUGUGUGGGUGUCUCCUUGUGAAGGAUCUGUUCACCCUGUAGGGUCUUGUCUUGAGCUUACAAUGUUUGAUAUUGUUUUUUUU